This is a long non-coding RNA of Cheilinus undulatus (humphead wrasse), 256 nucleotides long. RefSeq lists it as uncharacterized. The record is from RefSeq and is a predicted model, not a curated record. Lineage: Eukaryota; Metazoa; Chordata; Actinopteri; Labriformes; Labridae. The transcript has 3 exons.
CCAAGAUGGCGGCAGUAUUCGGGUAUUCGGCGAAGAGGCAUUGACAAUAACGUGUACAGUCAGUUUUUACAGCAUGUAUCUUCGUCCGUGAUAUCUGGCUUGUUGUAACAGCCGUUACCCAGUCGGACUCAACGAAAACACGGACGCCGGAUUUUAGGGAAUUCGACUAAGUGUCUGCUUUGCCAAACCAACUGAAAUGUAGCUGCAUAUUUGAUGGACAGAUGGAGAAGGUGUUCUGUUGUACGCGUCAAGACAA